CUUCACCUUUCCACAUGAGAGUUACACAGGAGCCUUCGGAGGAGUCAAGCUGCUCGUUUCCAGAGAGCCGGGAUUUUCAGUCUCUCUGAAGGAACAAUGCUUGGCGGACAACCCAAGAACCUGACAGCCAAUUUUGACAGUACUGGCCAAGAUGACUUCUUAAAGUUCCAGUCUUUUGUUUUCUUCAUGUCACCCAUGAGUGACCAAAGAUUAUCUUCCCCAUAUGAAUUUGUAGAUGGUGAACCUAUAUCACAUCCAUUGGAAACAGGUUUAUCAUCAUCUGAGGAUCAGGACAUUUCAGGUCAUAGAUGAACGUUCUCAAAGACAGCUACUGUUAAAGGCUUCAUGUUGUAGACAUAAUCCUAAAAAAUGAAUGUUCUAUUUUCUUGAUGAAGGAAGCCA
Chroicocephalus ridibundus (black-headed gull) is the source of this 402-nucleotide long non-coding RNA. RefSeq lists it as uncharacterized. The transcript has 4 exons. Lineage: Eukaryota; Metazoa; Chordata; Aves; Charadriiformes; Laridae. The record is from RefSeq and is a predicted model, not a curated record.